Long non-coding RNA from Calypte anna (Anna's hummingbird), 269 nucleotides. RefSeq lists it as uncharacterized. NCBI's taxonomy places the organism in Eukaryota, Metazoa, Chordata, Aves, Apodiformes, Trochilidae. The transcript is spliced from 3 exons. The record is from RefSeq and is a predicted model, not a curated record.
UCCACUCCUUCUAGCAGUAUACUCAAUUUUAUGGUCAGGCUGAGCCUCAAACUCUAAGUACGCCCUAAUUGGAGCCCUCCGAGCAGUAGCCCAAACCAUCUCCUAUGAAGUAACCCUCGCUAUCAUUCUCCUCUCAGUAAUUGUUCUAACCGGAAAUUAUACCCUUAACACCCUGGCUACCACUCAAGAGCCUCUAUACUUAAUCUUCUCCUCCUGACCCCUAGCUAUAAUAUGAUACAUUUCCACUCUUACAGAAACAAUACCAUUUU